UUUCCUACGGGGGGCAGCAGUGGGGAAUAUUGGACAAUGGGCGAAAGCCUGAUCCAGCAAUGCCGCGUGAGUGAUGAAGGCCUUAGGGUUGUAAAGCUCUUUUACCAGGGAUGAUAAUGACAGUACCUGGAGAAUAAGCUCCGGCUAACUCCGUGCCAGCAGCCGCGGUAAUACGGAGGGAGCUAGCGUUGUUCGGAAUUACUGGGCGUAAAGCGCGCGUAGGCGGCUACUCAAGUCAGAGGUGAAAGCCCGGGGCUCAACCCCGGAACUGCCUUUGAAACUAGGUGGCUAGAAUCUUGGAGAGGUCAGUGGAAUUCCGAGUGUAGAGGUGAAAUUCGUAGAUAUUCGGAAGAACACCAGUGGCGAAGGCGACUGACUGGACAAGUAUUGACGCUGAGGUGCGAAAGCGUGGGGAGCAAACAGGAUUAGAUACCCUUGUAGUCCC
Molecule: ribosomal RNA, 445 nt
Filed under: uncultured Novosphingobium sp.
Lineage: Bacteria; Pseudomonadati; Pseudomonadota; Alphaproteobacteria; Sphingomonadales; Sphingomonadaceae
Description: bacterial SSU rRNA
Rfam family: Bacterial small subunit ribosomal RNA
Source: RNAcentral